RNAcentral lists this ribosomal RNA (429 nucleotides) under Chloroflexota bacterium. RNAcentral's name for it is "Chloroflexi bacterium partial 16S ribosomal RNA". It matches the Rfam family "Bacterial small subunit ribosomal RNA", at positions 355 to 776 of the family's 1533-position model. The record is from RNAcentral. Lineage: Bacteria; Bacillati; Chloroflexota.
UGGGGAAUAUUGCACAAUGGGCGCAAGCCUGAUGCAGCCAUGCCGCGUGUAUGAAGAAGGCCUUCGGGUUGUAAAGUACUUUCAGCGGGGAGGAAGGGAGUAAAGUUAAUACCUUUGCUCAUUGACGUUACCCGCAGAAGAAGCACCGGCUAACUCCGUGCCAGCAGCCGCGGUAAUACGGAGGGUGCAAGCGUUAAUCGGAAUUACUGGGCGUAAAGCGCACGCAGGCGGUUUGUUAAGUCAGAUGUGAAAUCCCCGGGCUCAACCUGGAAACUGCAACUGAUACUGGAAAGCUUGAGUCUCGUAGAGGGGGGUAGAAUUCCAGGAGUAGCAGAGAAAUGCGUAGAGAUGGGGAGGAAUACCGGUGGCGAAGGCGGACCCAUGGACAAAGACUGACGCUCAGGUGCGAAAGCGUGGGGAGCAAACAGG